GUCAGUUUAAAGGAUGAUAUUGAAAUUGAAUCUUGUUGCAUAGAGUUCAGUUGUAUGCAAUGAUGAUUUAUAAGCAGCAUCAAUGAAGAAGGAAUGAUGUGAUUAAACUUGCACUCUUGAAGCCAUUAGAAGAAAAAGAAGAAAGUGAAAAUGAAUGUUGGUAGAGGUGGUGUGAGGUGUAAUGUCGAUGAUUUACUAGAGGA
Molecule: unclassified non-coding RNA, 203 nt
Filed under: Hevea brasiliensis (rubber tree)
Lineage: Eukaryota; Viridiplantae; Streptophyta; Magnoliopsida; Malpighiales; Euphorbiaceae
Source: RNAcentral